UUCUGGAUGAUGAAGAAAAAUCAAUUGGAUUGAUUUUAUAAUAUGAUUCAACAACCAGCUACUUCUGACAAAA
This 73-nucleotide small nucleolar RNA is filed under the name Sorghum bicolor (sorghum). Its description in RNAcentral is "snoRNA snoR12". It matches the Rfam family "Small nucleolar RNA R12". Rfam says of the family: snoR12 is a C/D box small nucleolar RNA, which acts as a methylation guide for 25S ribosomal RNA in plants. snoR12 has been alternatively named snoZ44 in Arabidopsis and snoZ131 in rice. RNAcentral also lists the same sequence under 1 other name. Lineage: Eukaryota; Viridiplantae; Streptophyta; Magnoliopsida; Poales; Poaceae. The record is from Rfam by way of RNAcentral.